ACACUCCUGCGGGAGGCAGCAGUGGGGAAUAUUGGACAAUGGGCGCAAGCCUGAUCCAGCCAUGCCGCGUGAGUGAUGAAGGCCCUAGGGUUGUAAAGCUCUUUCACCGGUGAAGAUAAUGACGGUAACCGGAGAAGAAGCCCCGGCUAACUUCGUGCCAGCAGCCGCGGUAAUACGAAGGGGGCUAGCGUUGUUCGGAUUUACUGGGCGUAAAGCGCACGUAGGCGGACUAUCAAGUCAGGGGUGAAAUCCCGGGGCUCAACCCCGGAACUGCCUUUGAUACUGGUAGUCUUGAGUUCGAGAGAGGUGAGUGGAAUUCCGAGUGUAGAGGUGAAAUUCGUAGAUAUUCGGAGGAACACCAGUGGCGAAGGCGGCUCACUGGCUCGAUACUGACGCUGAGGUGCGAAAGCGUGGGGAGCAAACAGGAUUAGAAACCCCAGUAGUCCC
RNAcentral lists this ribosomal RNA (447 nucleotides) under uncultured organism. Its description in RNAcentral is "partial 16S ribosomal RNA". It matches the Rfam family "Bacterial small subunit ribosomal RNA", at positions 333 to 797 of the family's 1533-position model. The record is from RNAcentral.